Gadus morhua (Atlantic cod) is the source of this 1036-nucleotide long non-coding RNA. RefSeq lists it as uncharacterized. The record is from RefSeq and is a predicted model, not a curated record. The transcript has 2 exons. Lineage: Eukaryota; Metazoa; Chordata; Actinopteri; Gadiformes; Gadidae.
CGCCCCGGACUUUAUACUGGGGGCGUGACCUCCAGCCUGGACGGGGCGUUGCCUUCAUGCCGGAGGGGGCGCGGCCUUCAAGCAGGAGGGGCGUGUCACUUCGUUGUGUAACACAGUCGUGUGUUUGGGUCGGCCUGCAGGCUCUGCCGUGACCCCUGGUCCUGGGAUACAGGGCGGCGAGCCGAGCGCCUAUCUCCAGCCCCCUGAUCUCCUGCUGAGCCCCCCUGAUCUCCUGCUGAGCCUGGAAGGUGUUCCUCCCCGCAGCCCGCUGCCCAGCGCCUCGCUGACCCAGGAGAGUCAGAGCAUCACCGGAGCGUUUCAGUCAAAUUUGGACUACGGACAGCAUGUGGAUCAGGUGGUAGAGCGGGUUGGUUGCUAGUUUGAUCCCAGCUCGAGGUGUCCCUGAGGGACAGCCCUCUCCCUAAAUGCUCCUGUUGAGCUGGCUGUCGGUGGGUGAAUGUUAGGCAAUAUUGUAAAAUGCUUUUUCAUUCAGGCCUGGAAUAUUGUUUUGGAAUUUUAUGACAUUACUAAUAUAUCUUGUGGAGCAUUCAAAUCCCUCCGUCCAUGUGUUGGCUAAUGGGGAGAGAGAGAGAGAGAGAGAGAGAGAGAGAGAGAGAGAGAGAGAGAGAGAGAGAGAGAGAGAGAGAGAGAGAGAGAGAGAGAGAGAGAGAGCGCAAGAGAGAGAGAGAGAGAGAGAGAGCGCAAGUGUUUUUUUAUUUUACUGUACUGAAAUUAAUGUUCCUCACACUUGCUUAAUAUUUUUAUAUAUAUUACAUUAUAAGGCUGUGUGUGUCAACUAUUCCAGUGACUACACAACUGAACACAGUUUCACACACAAAUAUCCUGAAAUUCCUUAGAAAUAAACAGGGACAUUAAUUCAGCCAGCAUGAUAAACUUGCUUCCUGGUUCAUAGAAAUUGAUUUGAAAUGAAUAGCCUACUAUUUAAAACGUGCAGUUACCUUGAAUUUGAUCAAAUUUGAUCAAUUCGAAAAUGUGGGUCAUGUUUGGGAUCAUUUUGAAUAAAAAGUGAAGGCUU